UGAACCCGAACUCGAAGGUGCGGAUCCAUGUAUUGCGCUUGACCCAGGCAAGAUCCGACCCGGAAUACUGGGCCGGGCUUCUUGUCGCGUGUAAUUGUCUCUAGAAGGUUCUUCGCUAAGUCGCCAGUUCCUUGAAGAUACAUAUAUCGUCGGUACUCUAAUGCCAUGGUUCCGUCGCCUGGUCACAACCCGCCUCUACCCUCACCGUCUUUGAAUCCGAGCUCCAGCACAAGGUAACGCUAUGGGCAAUCCAAUUGAUCCCGGGAUAUUCCAUCCUUGCAACUUGGUGGUCUCUUCUUUCUGUCCCCACCUCCCAAAGUAUUUUUUUUUUAAAUAUAUGUAAUUUCUUAAUCAGGGACUAGAGGAGUUGAUAGAGUUCCCUCUGUAGGAUGAGGAAUACAACUUAUCCUUGCCUUAUUGGCAAGUUUAUGAGCUAAGAAAUUCGUUUGUCUGUCGAUAUGAAUCCAGUCUAAGACAUUGACCUCCUUAGCUAUCAUGUGAAUAUCCUUACAAAUGUUAUACAAGAACCCAGGAGUAGAAUUUGAUUGGUUGAGGAUGAGAUUUAUUUCCAGUGUAUCAGACUUGUCAACAAGAUUCUACAGGUUCAUUGAUUGCAAGUGCUGCAGGCUUCAUGUGAGUUACUGCUGGUGGCAAUCUCGACCCCAUCUAAGUUUAAAGACAGGAGAGUAAAAUGAGUAUGAACCAUCACAAAAAAUGAGAGCUUGUAGGUUCCCUAGAGUAUGGAGAAGUUUGUGGGGGACAUGAUUUCUCUCUGGAGGGAAGGUUGACAUCGUUGAAGAGUGAUAAGACUUUAAACUAUAGAAAGGAUUGUUGGAUUCGAUGAUUUGAGUAUUUAGAAUGGCAAGGUGAGCAUUAUGACUCAAGUGAGUUCUUUCCUUCAAGCAAAAAUCAGUGGCACAGUCAUUCAAGAAUUUGAAGGUGCAUGUUUGGAUUAAAAAAUAUUCCAGGUUGCGACAUGCUGAAGGGUCUGCACUCUCUAGAAAAGCUAGUACUGCAGGCCUCCCAGCCGCAUAUGAUCAAAUUCACAAGAGCAUACUGAAUUAUGAUGGCUGACGCUAGAAAUAGUUGUUGGCUCUAAACACCCAUGGAAACAAGAGAACCUUAGAGCAAGUGAUAGAAGGUGGUGAAAGCGAGAACACCUUGCUAUUAUGAAGAUCUUUAUCGAUUACCCCAAGUAGUAACUUAAAAAAUGGGUAAGGGUUCGUAAUUUAAGAUUAAGCUGAAUAUAUAUAUAUAUAUAUAUAUAUAUAUAUAUAUAUAUAUCGCCACUUGCACAGAAAUGCCAACUUGAAUGGUGGGUUAUCUUGAUCCUAGUAGUCUUGCGAAUAUGCAUCGCCCCUUGCACAGUAAUACCAACAAGAAUGGUGGGUCAGGUUCUUGUUUGUAGGGAACCUGGACAAGGGUUGCUGGCCAAUUGAAGUUUUAUAAUGAUGUUUCUAUAGUCUAGGAUCUCCUUUAGCUGUAUCAUUUUUAUCUAUUCUCUUAUCUGCAACAUGGAUAUAUGUUCAGAUAUAGAUGUGUAAUCUGGAUUCUUCCCCACUUCUCAUGACUAUCCAGUUGCAUUGAUCAACUUGUGGGCGAUUCUAGAGUUGAAAUGGUGGGGUAUUUAACUCUAUAAAUCAAUUUAAAUCGGUUUUCUGUGUCUAUUUCAGACCCAUAUCUUUAUCUCAGUUGAGCAGAAUUUUCUUGAUAUGGAUGGAACGUUGGGAAUCUGUUUAGGUCUGGAUAUUUUGCAAAGUUGGAUGUAGAUUAAUUAAAGCCAUGAUAUGAGAAUAUGUUUAGAAAUAUCAUCAUUACAAAUUAGUUCUUUGUGAUUUGGAUUCUGCAUAUAUUUAUAUAUUGGCGCAAUAUAUAUUUAUAUAUUGGAACAACCUUUUUCGACUUGGUUCCAUUUGAUUUUUCUGAACUUUUCAAUUAACUUUGAAUAAAUUUUUACAUGAUUGUUUAUGGAAUAUAAUUACACGGUAAUUGUUUUUAACAACAUGGGAAACGUAUUGCCUUUAACUGAUUUGGUUGGAGUAACGAUCGAUUUUCAUUGGAUCCUACAAUAGUGGACUCAGAAUGGGUUAAGAGUGAGAGCUCAACACAGUUAUCACCCCAUUAAGAGUAGAGGUUACAUUGUAUAGUUGUCCUUCAUAUCUGGCUAUAGUAAUUCCCACACCUGGCCCCAUGGCUUUGCUUACUAGUGAAGACCAUCAACGGUCCUGGAAUUCGUAUCAACUUCCGCGUAGAUAUGAAGCAUACGAGGACAGCCUACUGACAUGCCGGAGCAUCCACCAAUUUCAGACCAUCCACUAUCUGGGAUGCACGGAGCUCAUAUGUUUCCCACCACACCAGAAGCCACCAGCUCAAAAUAUCUUCUAAUAAAACACUCGUUAUUUGUCGUUCGAAGGCGCACGGCCAUGCCAACACGUAAAUGAAGUCUCUUACGAAUGGUUACGGGCCACGGCAUCGCGCAUGCAUGACCACAGAUGGUAAGCACGCGACACCUGGUGGGGCGAAAUAGGUAACUGGAGCAGAAGCGUCGGCAAUACCGACUCGAAGAUGCGAUGCAUGCACACUGAAGGCCACUCUUGGAAGAUGUGAAAGCGUUGGUGGGAGCUGAUGGCCAACGUCCCGCCUCAACGUGACGCGUCGCAUCAUUCCCAGUGCCACCGAGAUAAGAAGAUGAAGCCACUCUUCAUCUCAAAUAACAAAAGGACAUCAAAAAACAGAGAGAAAAAUAGAGACGAAAAAAUAGUAGGGGAUAUAAUUCCCAAGACCCAAUCAACUUGAUUUCUGAUACUAAGAAGAGGGGGAUAAUAUGCCAAGAAGAUUCCAUAGAAGUAGACCAUCCCCCCAUCUUUUGAACGGAGAAGACGGGGAAGAAGGAAUCCUAGUGGUGGAAAACGCUGCUACAAAACUAAACAAUUGGAGUUGACUGACCCCACGUAGAUUCUCGUUCAGCACGAAAUGUGUUGGUGGCCUCCUUGUCAUAACCCUCGGGGAAUAUUACUUCGUACAAACCAAAGUUCGAAUUCAACAACUGUCGCAUAUAGGAACAUGUGUUCUUGCAAUGUUAUGGAACCAACCUUAAAGCUUGGAUGUAAGUUGGCUGGCAAGUAUUUUCAUCCUCUUUUCAUAUGGAAAUGACUAAUAACUUUAAGAUACAAUAGAUGGGAAGUUAUCCUGGCAACCUUUGAUUGUCGAAUGCCCGAAACCAAUCUCAAUUCUUUCUUCCAUGAAUGUUUGAGGACUCGAUUUACUAAGUGUUUACUAAGAAAACACAAAAAAGGGAAUCUAAUUGAUCUUUACGUAUCAAGGUUUGCCGCCAGGCUGGAAACCAAAAGGAGAAGGGCAUUUUCGAUAAUUCUGUAUUAGUUUAUUCUUCUUCGUAGGGGCCCGCUUCAUGACUACACCUCCCGUCGUUUCCUACGCGGCGCCCAUCCCUUACGUUCGGCUCACUGCUACCAAUGACUGCUGUCCUCCUUACCUUCACUCGGUCUCCUCACCAUCAACUUUUGCCUAAGCAAUCGUGAAGAGUACGUCAACCGCCCCUGCUUGAAAGCAGAGCAGAGGGCGCGUCAACUGUCCUAAACCGAAUCGGAUCGUUUGGCUAACCAAACCGAUCGUAUAAGAAUUGGUGAAUGCGAAUUCCAAUUACUAAUAUUAUUAAUGUUAUACGUUUGGUUGUUUCGGACGCCUUGCGUCUUACGCUUUGCUUUCCUUUUGUCCUAUAAAU
This is a long non-coding RNA of Musa acuminata AAA Group (dessert banana), 3742 nucleotides long. RefSeq lists it as uncharacterized. The transcript has 3 exons. NCBI's taxonomy places the organism in Eukaryota, Viridiplantae, Streptophyta, Magnoliopsida, Zingiberales, Musaceae. The record is from RefSeq and is a predicted model, not a curated record.